This 230-nucleotide long non-coding RNA is filed under the name Malus domestica (apple). RNAcentral describes it as "long non-coding RNA (MDOM_LNC005932)". Lineage: Eukaryota; Viridiplantae; Streptophyta; Magnoliopsida; Rosales; Rosaceae. The record is from RNAcentral.
AACUAUCAAACCAAACAAUGUGGUCAGGAGUAUUAGAUUAGAGAAAGACCGUAUUGCAUUUGUAAUCCUAAACUAAAUAGGUUCUUAACCUCUUCUGAUUAGCUUGGGUAACCAUGACAUACGGCUAUGUGUCACUCAUGGUUUGUGGAAGCCCUAAAAGUGUAUUAUCACUAAAGGGAGAAUUAAAAGUAAGUUUCAAUUCAUAAUCGAUUUGAAAGAGUUUUGAUCGC